CACUAGUCAUCUAGUUUAUUGAUUGGUCUGAUCAACUAGCUAGUCACUAGUCAUCUAGUUUAUUGAUUGGUCUGAUCAACUAGCUAGUCACUAGUCAUCUAGUUUAUUGAUUGGUCUGAUCAACUAGCUAGUCACUAGUCGUCUAGUUUAUUGAUUGGUCUGAUCAACUAGCUAGUCACUAGUCGUCUAGUUUAUUGAUUGGUCUGAUCAACUAGCUAGUCACUAGUCAUCUAGUUUAUUGAUUGGUCUGAUCAACUAGCUAGUCACUAGUAGUCUAGUUUAUUGUCUUCCUCUGGAUGGUGAGGUAGUAAUCUAUCUUAACUCUAACCAGCCAGUCACAUGGAGAGAGACUUGUCUUCUACUCUGAGAAACAGCGAGGCAGUUUGUUAAGGAAUGGGGGGGGGGUAGAAUCACUUAGCAACAAGAGAGGGGGAGGGGCUCUUCAGAAUCAACACCCCGACAUUCCGCGGUGAUGUCACAAUGGAUCUGAGUGUAGCGCGCGUUGAUGACGUCAUAGUGUAAGUUCCACUGUGUUGUUGUGUAGUCAGGUCAUGGGGGUGUAUUCAUUAUUUCUAUUCUGUUGCAAAACGUUUUUUUUUAGUUUGUUGCAACAACAAAAACGAACAAAAAAAUGUUUCGCAUCAGAAACCAUUUUUUUUACUCCAGAGUUUCUAUUGGACAAAUGUCGGUAGGUUCCUCCCCCGUUUCGUUCUGUUUGCUUUCGUUUGGUUUGUAAAAUGAUAAACAGUUUCCGUUGCAAGACGUAAUGAAUACACCCCAGGGUUUUAAUUAUUUAUUUUUUUAUCUGUGUUUUGAAGCCGAUACGCCAUUUUGAAAAAGUUAUUUUAUAUUAACCCCCCCCCCACUCUCUCUCUCUGUUAGGCAGGGGGGGGUCUGAGGUAGGUAGGGGAGGUCUGAGACAGGCAGGGGAGGUCUGAGGUAG
Long non-coding RNA from Oncorhynchus tshawytscha (Chinook salmon), 943 nucleotides. NCBI's taxonomy places the organism in Eukaryota, Metazoa, Chordata, Actinopteri, Salmoniformes, Salmonidae. The record is from Ensembl.